This 100-nucleotide ribosomal RNA is filed under the name Aliivibrio fischeri. The record is from RNAcentral. Lineage: Bacteria; Pseudomonadati; Pseudomonadota; Gammaproteobacteria; Vibrionales; Vibrionaceae.
UUAUGGACCCACCUGAUCCCAUGCCGAACUCAGAAGUGAAACGUAAUAGCGCCGAUGGUAGUGUGGGGCUUCCCCAUGUGAGAGUAGGACAUCGCUAGGC